This 135-nucleotide small RNA is filed under the name Bombyx mori (domestic silkworm). Its description in RNAcentral is "Bm_148". The record is from RNAcentral. Lineage: Eukaryota; Metazoa; Arthropoda; Insecta; Lepidoptera; Bombycidae.
AUGUGCAUGCCGAUNAGUGUUUGGUUGAGUAUCGAGUACACUUUUGCACGCGAUGCUACACGCGACUCGCAGGUCACCAGCUACCCGGGGCACACACUGCCCUUANGCUUUCCUACAUACCUCGACUACAUUUUC